This 22-nucleotide microRNA is filed under the name Tribolium castaneum (red flour beetle). RNAcentral describes it as "tca-miR-11617a-3p". Lineage: Eukaryota; Metazoa; Arthropoda; Insecta; Coleoptera; Tenebrionidae. The record is from miRBase by way of RNAcentral.
UAGUACUUCCUAGGGCAGCUUA